UUCAGCGUGAAUUUGCAGCUACCUGUAAAAGUGCCGUUGCAUACUGUGAGGCUAGAAUUUGGUUGCUGUGGGUGGAAUGUGUGCUGUAGCGAUGAAAUGCUUAGAGAUCACACAGAAUAUCGAUUGCGAAGGCAGCUCACAAAGGCCAAGAUGACGCUGAGGCACGAAAGUGUGGGGAUCAAACAGGAUUAGAUACCUGGUAGUCACACUGUAAACGAUGAUAACUCGCUGUCGGCGAUAUACAGUCGGUGACCAAGCGAAAGCGAUAAGUUAUCCACCUGGGGAGUACGACCGCAAGGUUGAAACUCAAAGGAAUUGACGGGGGCCCGCACAAGCGGAGGAACAUGUGGUUUAAUUCGAUGAUACGCGAGGAACCUUACCCGGGCUCGAACGGUGCAGGAAUAUGGUAGAGAUAUCAUAGCUAGCAAUAGUCUGUAUCGAGGUGCUGCAUGGUUGUCGUCAGCUCGUGCCGUGAGGUGUCGGCUUAAGUGCCAUAACGAGCGCAACCCUUGUCAUUA
Molecule: ribosomal RNA, 518 nt
Filed under: uncultured bacterium
Lineage: Bacteria
Description: bacterial SSU rRNA
Rfam family: Bacterial small subunit ribosomal RNA
Source: RNAcentral